Molecule: non-coding RNA, 212 nt
Organism: Phascolarctos cinereus (koala)
Lineage: Eukaryota; Metazoa; Chordata; Mammalia; Diprotodontia; Phascolarctidae
Source: RefSeq, a predicted model, not a curated record
UGGACUUGAAGGCAGCCAGGAGAUAAAGAUGAAAAGGGUGAGGAAACCAAGAGCAGACAGGAAGUGACCUGUGUCUUCUUUUCCUGUCCUGAUGCUCCCCGACUUAUUGCCUUACUUCUCAAAGAGCAAGAGUUGGGGCAAUGUGGAAAAAGAGGCUGAGACAUCCUUGAAAAAGGAGUCUGAACCAGCGAACUUUUUUUUUUAAACAAGAG